Molecule: long non-coding RNA, 520 nt
Organism: Homo sapiens (human)
Lineage: Eukaryota; Metazoa; Chordata; Mammalia; Primates; Hominidae
Source: Ensembl
GAGCUGCCUGUUGUAUAAGAGGAUAGCACACACCAUUAUGAACAAUGGCAACAGUGCUCAAAGGGAAGGAAGAUAAUUAAAAUGGAAGACAGAGCCAUCAAAAACCAUGUGGAGGAAAGUCACUACAUGAGCCUAGACUGAAAGAAUGUACACAGGCAGAUAUAAAUGCCUAUUUCAUUUAACGUAUUUUGCUUAGGAUCUCCUUGUUAUAAAACCUUGGCUUUUGGUCAAAUAACACAGACCAGUAAGAAAUGAGGUUGGAAGAUGGGAAUAUUUAGGAGCAGUAGGAAUGGCUCUCCUGACACCAGUUCUUGAACUAUAAAUGUGUUUGGAUUCCCAGAGGUUUUUACACUCUACUAACAUUUAUGAUUUGUGAGAGAUACCCGUUCCCUGAGGGGCAUGCAUCAUGCACAGGAAAACCACAGGAUCUGCGAAAUGCAAGAUGACCCAACUUCCAACAGUGUUAAUCAAUGGAGUAGUCAUGAAUUACUAUGUACUCAAUUAAACUUUGUUGCAAAAA